Non-coding RNA from Triticum aestivum (bread wheat), 134 nucleotides. NCBI's taxonomy places the organism in Eukaryota, Viridiplantae, Streptophyta, Magnoliopsida, Poales, Poaceae. The record is from Rfam.
GUUCUACUCCCCCAUUCCAAAAUUCUUGUCUUAGAUUUGUCUAUAUACGGACGUAUUUAAUACUAAAACGUAAGUAGAUGCAUCUGUAUUUAAACAAAUCUAGGACAAGAAUUUUGGAAUGGAGGGAGUACUAA